ACAGUGGUGGUUCAGUUGCAGAAUUCUGGCCUUCCAUGUUAGAGACCUGGGUUUGACUCCCAGCCACUGCA
This 71-nucleotide transfer RNA is filed under the name Loxodonta africana (African savanna elephant). It matches the Rfam family "tRNA". From Rfam's summary of the family: Transfer RNA (tRNA) molecules are approximately 80 nucleotides in length. Their secondary structure includes four short double-helical elements and three loops (D, anti-codon, and T loops). Further hydrogen bonds mediate the characteristic L-shaped molecular structure. tRNAs have two regions of fundamental functional importance: the anti-codon, which is responsible for specific mRNA codon recognition, and the 3' end, to which the tRNAs corresponding amino acid is attached (by aminoacyl-tRNA synthetases). tRNAs cope with the degeneracy of the genetic code in two manners: having more than one tRNA (with a specific anti-codon) for a particular amino acid; and 'wobble' base-pairing, i.e. permitting non-standard base-pairing at the 3rd anti-codon position. Lineage: Eukaryota; Metazoa; Chordata; Mammalia; Proboscidea; Elephantidae. The record is from Rfam by way of RNAcentral.